RNAcentral lists this long non-coding RNA (1010 nucleotides) under Dicentrarchus labrax (European seabass). Its description in RNAcentral is "lncRNA (ENSDLAG00005026378.1)". The record is from RNAcentral. Lineage: Eukaryota; Metazoa; Chordata; Actinopteri; Moronidae.
AUAUUAUUUAGUUAAAAUAAAAUUAAUUAAUUGAAUCUAUAAACUGUCCCAAAAUAUUCAGUUUACAGUGAAAUAAAAGAGUGAAUAUUAUUUACUUGAAAAAAGACUUAAACAAUCAUCAGAACUGUUGCACAUUGAUUAAGUAAUCAAUAAAUCGACUGUUGGAGCUCUGCUGACGGGAGAUAUUAAAGGAAAUAAGCCAAACUUCAUGUACAUUCAAUAAGCUCCUAAAAUCUUCCAUCUGCUUCGAGUCGUCAUCUCCAAAAAAUGGUGAAACCGGACACCGGGAGGCUCGACCGCCUUUAACCCCUUCACUGCCUCCCCGAGAGCCCAGAACCAGAGAGCAGAGACCAGAACUGACACAGACACUGUUUGUUUGUUUGUUUGUUUGUUUACACACUGUGUUGGGAUGUGAGUUUAACCUUAAUAGAAAUAUUGAACCUUUCUCUCUGUGUUUAUCUGCUGCUUGUUGUUAUUGAUUAUAUGACACAGUUACACUAUUUAUUACUGAUUACACAUAAAUGCAUCAGUAAUAAUUAAUAAUAUCAAUAAACACCAACAGAGGUCAUUUUUCUGCAUUAUUGGUGCUUUUAAUUAAGAAUAUUUAGCUCUAAUACAAACUGCUGUUUGUGUAUAAGUGAAUAUAAAUCUGUUACUUUAUAAAUGAAGCUGUGAUUUUAAUGUGUAAACGACCUUUAAUGGAGCUGGUUAUUGAUACUUCUACCACUGACUGACUUUAUGCAUCUUUAUUAAUAAUUAUUAUUAUUAGAACUUUUGUUAUUGUUAUUAUUGCAGGUUAUUGAUAUUUUACUUUAUAUAUCGAUGGAAAUAAAUGUUUUUACUUUAAACAUCACCUGGAUUCAGUUUGUUCUGUACAUAAAUACAUAAACAAUAUUCACCAUCAUCACACACUGUUACUAUGGUUACUACUGUACUUAUAUAACUUAUAUAACAUUGAAAAACUUUAAUAAUAAAUAAACUGAUUUGAAUUUUUCUUACUGACAGUAAAC